AAAGUCAGAGGGGGAAAUGAAAGAGAAGGGGAAGAAGAGCGAAGAGGAGGAGACCCUGGGGAAGACCCGGAAAAGGAAAUCUAAAGAAGAAGGAAAAAAGAACAACAAAAAGGCUAAAAAGGAGGAGAAAGAGGAAGAAAAGAAAGAGGCAGAAAACAAGUGGAAAUGGUGGGAAGAGGAGAAGAAAGAAGAUGGGGUGAAGUGGACGCAGCUGGAACACAGAGGACCCUAUUUCGCCCCCCUCUACGAGCCGCUGCCUGAUGAUGUGCAGUUUUAUUAUGACGGCAAACCCCUGAAGCUGAGCCUGGCAACGGAGGAAAUUGCUACCUUCUACGCCAAAAUGCUUGACCAUGAAUACACGACCAAGGAGAUCUUCCAGAACAACUUCUUCAAUGACUGGAGGAAGGAGAUGACAUCAAAGGAGCAGAAGAUAAUCAAGGACCUGGACAAGUGUGACUUCAGGGAGAUCCACAAGUACUUUGUGGAAAAAAGUGAGGCACGGAAAGCACUCUCCAAAGAGGAGAAGCAGAAACUGAAGGAGGAGGCAGACAAGAUCCAGGAGGAGUAUGGGUACUGCAUCCUGGAUGGGCACCGGGAGAAGAUAGGUAACUUCAAAACUGAGCCGCCAGGGCUGUUCCGUGGACGUGGUGACCACCCCAAAAUGGGCAUGCUGAAGAAGAGGAUCAUGCCAGAAGAUGUUAUCAUCAACUGCAGCAAGGACUCCAAGAUCCCCGAGCCACCAGAAGGGCACAAGUGGAAGGAGGUGCGCUUUGACAACACGGUUACCUGGCUGGCCUCGUGGACGGAAAACAUCCAGAACACUUUGAAGUACAUCAUGCUGAACCCCAGCUCCAAGCUGAAGGGGGAGAAAGACUGGCAGAAGUAUGAGGUAGCCCGGCGCUUAAAGGAUGUUGUCCACAAAAUCCGUGCUCAGUACAGAACUGAUUGGAAGUCCAAGGAGAUGAAGAAGCGGCAAAGAGCAGUGGCCCUCUACUUCAUUGAUAAGCUGGCCCUGCGAGCUGGCAAUGAGAAAGAGGAAGGGGAGACUGCGGACACAGUUGGCUGCUGUUCCCUGCGUGUGGAGCACAUAACGCUGCACCCCAAGCUGGAUGGGCAGGAUCACGUGGUGGAGUUUGACUUCCUUGGGAAAGACUCGAUCCGUUACUACAACAAAGUGUCAGUGGAGAAGCCGGUGUUCAAGAACCUGCAGCUGUUCAUGAAGAACAAGGACCCAGCAGAUGACCUCUUUGACAGGCUUAAUACAUCCAUCUUGAACAGACACCUCCAGAGUCUGAUGGAUGGUUUGACUGCCAAAGUGUUCAGGACCUACAACGCCUCCAUCACCCUGCAGGAGCAGCUCAAGGCACUCACUAACUCUGAAGACAAUGUUGCAGGAAAACUCCUCUCCUACAACCGAGCUAACAGAGCUGUGGCCAUCCUGUGCAACCAUCAGAGGUCUACACCGAAAACCUUUGAGAAGUCGAUGCAAAACCUCCAGACCAAGAUCGAUGCCAAGAAGCAACAAGUGGAAGAAGCCCAGCAAGAGCUGAAAAAAGCUGAGGAUGAGUUCGAAGAUACACAAGAUGACAAAGCAAAAGCCAAUGUGGAGAAGAAAAAGAAGCUGUUGAAGCGGCUGGAAGAGCAGCUGGCCAAGCUGAAUGUUCAGGCCACAGACAAGGAGGAGAACAAGCAGAUAGCUCUGGGCACGUCCAAGCUGAAUUACCUGGACCCCAGGAUUAGCAUAGCCUGGGCUCCAGAUGAUGAUGACUCACAGUAAUGCCACCAGCAUGAAACCCCCAAGAGUGGGAAGGGUGAGUGUAACACCAGGAAAAUGAAAACACCAGGAAACCGCAAAGUGUGUGUAAUAAUUUCAGUAAUAAUAUAAUUCUCCAUAGGAUUAUUCUUUGUUUUCCUACAGUAGUUAGAUCUAGACUGACUGUCAUUCUUGGAUGAGACUUAACAUAUUAUUAGUAUAAUUGAAAUCUUACUAGCACGCAUAGAUGAUGUGCUUUCUGUUUGCGUAUCAGAUGAGAUUUUGAGGUGGUAUCAGUAGCAUGGCAUCCUUCUCUGGUCUCCCGCUAGUUCUCCUGGGCUCCCCUGAUGUUGCUGGUGUGGUGCCAAGCUCAGGGUUGUGGUAAUAGAGCUGGUAGAGCAGCACUUGAGCCAAGUCAUGGGAGGAAAAUCUGCAUAGCUGCAGGGGGACAAGCCUUCCCAGUGCUAACCCAAGGCUCCAGACUUAACCCUGAUUAGGCAACCAAAGAUGGGGGCCCUGGUCCUCAGAGUGGCUCCUCCUUGCUGGACCCAGUAUGCAUACCCCCUUUCCUCUAGGACCAACUCACAGCGUGCAAGUUUGAGUCCCCAUCCCCCUUCUUGGGUGGCCGUGCUUCCUCAUAGGCUGGUCACCACUUCCUACCCACCUUUUAUCUCCCGCCUUCUUUCAAAGAAGAACCACUGCUAUCAGUAGCAACUGCUUUCCUUCUGGUUUAUUUUGAGAUAUUAAGUAACGCUUGCUCAGACAAAGGCAGUGCGCAAAACUCGGGCAGCAGAUGUGAGCGCUGGGCUUCUGCAAGUACGUGUCAGCCCCCCGGUCUGGGCUGUGAACACUGCAACACGUGGUUUGACCUGUGUCAGCCUCUGCGUUGGCCACCCUCCCAGCUAGGACUCCACGGGGGAUUUGGGAGCUGCUUCCCCUGAAGACUGUGCAGGCAGAGAAGAGCAAAUGGAGAUGAGGGCUCUCCUGAUGGCAUGUCUGGCUGCUGUCCUCUACACGGACAUCGCCAACUCGCUGACGUGCUACACCUGCACCAACCAGACCAGCAAUGAUCAGUGCUUGACGGCUUCCUCAUGUACCAAAAAUGAGACUGCCUGUGUGACUAUAGUUUGGAAGACAGGCACUCACACGCAGAAGCUGAUCAGCAAAAACUGCAUUUCAAAUUGCAGCCUGUUUAAAGACCCUUAUGAAUGCUGCCCUCAGGACAAGUGCAAUCUCAACGAGGCAUCAGGGAUGAGACCUCCUACGGUGGUGCUGGGAACUGCAGUUCUGGUCAGUGUUACCAGGCCCCUUCUCUGGACUGGACUGUGAUGAAGUCCCUGUUGAAUAACCCGUGCAAGCUUCUUAACCCAUCCUGGUCCACUAGCACCUGCAGUUAUUUUGCCUGUCUGUCCUCAGAAUGUCUUCUGAACAUCUGGUGUUCAGGCAUGGAAGGGCCAGUCUGAACCUAGCUUGAGUAUGAUGGAGAAGAGAUUCCUCUGUUACUCUUUUAUAGCUUCUCAUGCAACAGGGCUCUGCUGUCAACAUCAAAAAAAAAAAAAAAGAAAAAAUAAAUUUCCAAGACAUCUAUUAUUUA
This is a non-coding RNA of Phalacrocorax carbo (great cormorant), 3347 nucleotides long. Lineage: Eukaryota; Metazoa; Chordata; Aves; Suliformes; Phalacrocoracidae. The record is from RefSeq and is a predicted model, not a curated record.